AUUGAACGCUGGCGGCAGGCCUAACACAUGCAAGUCGAGCGGAUGAAGGGAGCUUGCUCCUGGAUUCAGCGGCGGACGGGUGAGUAAUGCCUAGGAAUCUGCCUGGUAGUGGGGGAUAACGUCCGGAAACGGGCGCUAAUACCGCAUACGUCCUGAGGGAGAAAGUGGGGGAUCUUCGGACCUCACGCUAUCAGAUGACCCUAGGUCGGAUUAGCUAGUUGGUGGGGUAAAGGCCUACCAAGGCGACGAUCCGUAACUGGGCUGAGAGGAUGAUCAGUCACACUGGAACUGAGACACGGUCCAGACUCCUACGGGAGGCAGCAGUGGGGAAUAUUGGACAAUGGGCGAAAGCCUGAUCCAGCCAUGCCGCGUGUGUGAAGAAGGUCUUCGGAUUGUAAAGCACUUUAAGUUGGGAGGAAGGGCAGUAAGUUAAUACCUUGCUGUUUUGACGUUACCAACAGAAUAAGCACCGGCUAACUUCGUG
RNAcentral lists this ribosomal RNA (484 nucleotides) under uncultured bacterium. RNAcentral's name for it is "partial 16S ribosomal RNA". It matches the Rfam family "Bacterial small subunit ribosomal RNA", at positions 30 to 507 of the family's 1533-position model. The record is from RNAcentral.